GACGAACGCUGGCGGCGUGCCUAAUACAUGCAAGUCGAGCGGACUGAAUGGGAGCUUGCUCUUGUUCGGUCAGCGGCGGACGGGUGAGUAACACGUGGGCAACCUGCCCGCAAGACCGGGAUAACUCCGGGAAACCGGAGCUAAUACCGGAUAACACCGAAGACCGCAUGGUCUUUGGUUGAAAGGCGGCGCAAGCUGCCACUUGCGGAUGGGCCCGCGGCGCAUUAGCUAGUUGGUGAGGUAACGGCUCACCAAGGCGACGAUGCGUAGCCGGCCUGAGAGGGUGACCGGCCGCACUGGGACGGAGACACGGCCCAGACUCCUACGGGAGGCAGCAGUAGGGAAUCUUCCGCAAUGGGCGAAAGCCUGACGGAGCGACGCCGCGUGAGCGAAGAAGGCCUUCGGGUCGUAAAGCUCUGUUGUGAGGGACGAAGGAGCGCCGUUUGAAGAAGGCGGCGCGGUGACGGUACCUCACGAGGAAGCCCCGGCUAACUACGUG
Molecule: ribosomal RNA, 499 nt
Filed under: uncultured bacterium
Lineage: Bacteria
Description: partial 16S ribosomal RNA
Rfam family: Bacterial small subunit ribosomal RNA
Source: RNAcentral